Long non-coding RNA from Tupaia belangeri chinensis (Chinese tree shrew), 1710 nucleotides. RefSeq lists it as uncharacterized. The record is from RefSeq and is a predicted model, not a curated record. Lineage: Eukaryota; Metazoa; Chordata; Mammalia; Scandentia; Tupaiidae. The transcript is spliced from 3 exons.
UUCCCUUUCCCUGCCUCUCUCUGCGAACGCACACAUCCUAUGGCAAAUACCUAAGAAGAAAAAAAGGAAUCUAGCUGUCGUCAGUCUAGUGAGGACAGGCAAAUGAAUAAUUGCUAUAUUGAGCUGAAGAUUCUUGACAAUAGUAGGCGGUACCUUGGGACCUGAGGAAAGAGAACACCAUCUGUGGGGUGAUGAGGGCAUGUGUAAGAAAGAGGCAGCCAUCCUAUGAAAGCAGAUUCUAUGACCUUGGCAAGGGAAGGAUGGAAGUUUUCACCUUGACAGAGGCUGAAUUACCUUCAAUUUUCCACUUUCCCAGCUAUUCCAGAGAGCAAACUUGAACUAUAAACCUGAAAUUUCUUUGGUAAGGAUCUUGCUCUCUCAAAAAUACAGCCUAACCCCCAUAGAAAAGGAUCACCUUUUAAAUAAAAGAAGCACAGUGCAUUAUUUGGCAAGUGACUGGGUGCAGGUGUGUGUGUGUGUGUGUGUGUGUGUGUGUGUUACCACACAUGUAUGUGAAGAAUUUUAAAUUCUCCGAGGAACUGGGUAAAAAUCUCUUUAAAGUUUCCUUCAGCUGGGACUCUUUUUCUUCAUUUUGAGCUAGGGAAAAACCAGGCCUCUGAUCUUCCAUUUGAGCUGAAGUGAACAUUCUUCUAUUCACCUUUGAGCCUGGGCCCACCCUUCAUUUGGGAUCCUGCCCCCUGUUUGCAGGCUGUGCUCCAUACUGCCCCCUGGUUGUAGGCUAUGCUCCUGCAUGUCAUAAUGUCCGUGGCACAGAUACCAGGUUUGCUACCUGAGUAUUCCAAACUGCUUUUCCUGACAGCAGAAUCUGGUUUUAAUUUAGAUGAUGUUCGUUUUCAAAGGCUUGGGGGAGAGAGGAAAAGGAGUGGAAGAGAUCAUUCUAGGGAGUGUCUGUUGAGCCAUUAAAUGCACCAGACAAGAACUCAUCUCAUUCUGCCUAGAGAACAAGCCCCUUUCUUUUCAUGGUUCUGGCAUAUUGAGCCCAGUCAAAAGCUAAUUAAAGUCCUUUCCGUUUCUUAGGACUGCAUGUCGUCCCCAUAGCACUUCCUGUUCUGCUUUUCCGCUUGGCUCCCAGUUGGGUGGGGAUACAAAGCUGCCAGAGAUGAUCUCCCACGUUUGGAUGCGCCAGCCUGUUUCUCUCACUGAGCACUGACAACCCGUGCCUGGAUUGUUCCGGUCUCUGCAUGAGCUCAGGAUGUGUCACAGUGGGCCCUUCGCUGAGCAAUGAGAAUGAGUGAGAUGCUGGACUAUGUGAUGGACAGGAAGGGCAGCUAUAUGUGCCCCAAAGGAAGCAGAUCCAAAUCACCACCCCCAACAUGUAGAAGGCUGGAGACCCAGGAAGUCUGCUGCUGGUUGGAAAGCCUGAGAGGGGAAGAGUGAACGGUGUAGAACCCAGUGCCCUCCGGGGAUUGAAGAUGCCCACCUGCACCGGGGAGGGCCAUCUGCUUUACUCAUCACUGUUCAAGUGCCCAUCUCUUCCAUAGACUGUAGACACACCAGAGAGAAUGUUUAACCAGAUAUCUGGCCCAGUCAGGUUGACACAUAAACUAGCCUUCACAGUUUUUGCUUUUUAAAAACCUUUCUUAUAUAUUUAUAGAUGAAUGAUUUCCUGUAUCUUUAUGGAUGAAUGAGUGAGCCCCCCCAGUGGGGCAUCGUCAUGCUGCAAUCCUUCUUCCUUCAUUUCUCCACCUC